UGGGGAAUAUUGGGCAAUGGGCGCAAGCCUGACCCAGCAACGCCGCGUGAAGGAAGAAGGCUUUCGGUUGUAAACUUCUUUUCUCAGGGACGAAGCAAGUGACGGUACCUGAGGAAUAAGCCACGGCUAACUACGUGCC
Molecule: ribosomal RNA, 139 nt
Filed under: uncultured bacterium
Lineage: Bacteria
Description: partial 16S ribosomal RNA
Rfam family: Bacterial small subunit ribosomal RNA
Source: RNAcentral